Molecule: ribosomal RNA, 424 nt
Filed under: uncultured cyanobacterium
Lineage: Bacteria; Bacillati; Cyanobacteriota
Description: bacterial SSU rRNA
Rfam family: Bacterial small subunit ribosomal RNA
Source: RNAcentral
GGGGAAUUUUCCGCAAUGGGCGAAAGCCUGACGGAGCAAUACCGCGUGAGGGAGGAAGGUUUUUGGAUUGUAAACCUCAAAACUUAGGGAAGAAAAAAAUGACGGUACCUAAUAUAAGCAUCGGCUAACUCCGUGCCAGCAGCCGCGGUAAUACGGAGGAUGCAAGCGUUAUCCGGAAUCAUUGGGCGUAAAGCGUCCGCAGGUGGCCUAUCAAGUCUGUUGUUAAAGCCCAGGGCUCAACUCUGGAUCAGCAAUGGAAACUGAAAGGCUAGAGUACGGUAGGGGUAGAGGGAAUUCCCAGUGUAGCGGUGAAAUGCGUAGAUAUUGGGAAGAACACCAGUGGCGAAGGCGCUCUGCUGGGCCGUAACUGACACUCAUGGACGAAAGCUAGGGGAGCGAAAGGGAUUAGAUACCCCUGUAGUCA